This 576-nucleotide ribosomal RNA is filed under the name uncultured eukaryote. RNAcentral's name for it is "SSU rRNA". It matches the Rfam family "Eukaryotic small subunit ribosomal RNA", at positions 205 to 796 of the family's 1831-position model. The record is from RNAcentral.
UAUUUAUUAGAUAAAAAACCAACKCCCUUCGGGGCUCCUUGGUGAAUCAUAAUAACUUAACRAAUCGCAUGGCCUUGCGCCGGCRAUGGUUCAUUCAAAUUUCUGCCCUAUCAACUUUCRAUGGUAGGAUAGUGGCCGACCAUGGUGGCAACGGGUAACGGGGAAUUAGGGUUCGAUUCCGGARAGGGAGCCUGARAAACGGCUACCACAUCCAAGGAAGGCAGCAGGCGCGCAAAUUACCCAAUCCCGAUACGGGGAGGUAGUGACAAUAAAUACUGAUACGGGGCUCUUUUGGGUCUCGUAAUUGGAAUGAGAACAAUUUAAAUCCCCUAACGAGGAACAAUUGGAGGGCAAGUCUGGUGCCAGCAGCCGCGGUAAUUCCAGCUCCAAUAGCGUAUAUUAAAGUUGUUGCAGUUAAAAAGCUCGUAGUUGAACCUUGGGUCUGGCUGGCCGGUCCGCCUCACCGCGAGUACUGGUCCGGCUGGACCUUUCCUUCUGGGGAACCUCAUGGCCUUCACUGGCUGUGGGGGGAACCAGGACUUUUACUGUGAAAAAAUUAGAGUGUUCCAAGCWUGC